RNAcentral lists this transfer RNA (73 nucleotides) under Pseudoalteromonas sp. CO325X. RNAcentral describes it as "tRNA-Glu". It matches the Rfam family "tRNA". From Rfam's summary of the family: Transfer RNA (tRNA) molecules are approximately 80 nucleotides in length. Their secondary structure includes four short double-helical elements and three loops (D, anti-codon, and T loops). Further hydrogen bonds mediate the characteristic L-shaped molecular structure. tRNAs have two regions of fundamental functional importance: the anti-codon, which is responsible for specific mRNA codon recognition, and the 3' end, to which the tRNAs corresponding amino acid is attached (by aminoacyl-tRNA synthetases). tRNAs cope with the degeneracy of the genetic code in two manners: having more than one tRNA (with a specific anti-codon) for a particular amino acid; and 'wobble' base-pairing, i.e. permitting non-standard base-pairing at the 3rd anti-codon position. RNAcentral also lists the same sequence under 1 other name. The record is from RNAcentral. Lineage: Bacteria; Pseudomonadati; Pseudomonadota; Gammaproteobacteria; Alteromonadales; Pseudoalteromonadaceae.
CCCUUCGUCUAGAGGCCUAGGACACCGCCCUUUCACGGCGGUAACAGGGGUUCGAAUCCCCUAGGGGACGCCA